Amblyraja radiata (thorny skate) is the source of this 76-nucleotide small nucleolar RNA. The record is from RefSeq and is a predicted model, not a curated record. NCBI's taxonomy places the organism in Eukaryota, Metazoa, Chordata, Chondrichthyes, Rajiformes, Rajidae.
CUGCAAUGAUGUUUUUGAAUUUUACCUGAAGAUCAAUAUGUAGAUCAAACAAAUGAGCUUUUUAACACUGAGCGGC